GGAACCGACACGGGGUGCCGCGCACCAGGCCCGGCUGAGAUCCACACCCGUUGAACCUGUCCGGUUAGUACCGGCGAAGGGAUGUCUCUUUUGUCUACG
Molecule: non-coding RNA, 99 nt
Filed under: Pseudarthrobacter chlorophenolicus
Lineage: Bacteria; Bacillati; Actinomycetota; Actinomycetes; Micrococcales; Micrococcaceae
Description: Arthrobacter chlorophenolicus TPP sequence
Rfam family: TPP riboswitch aptamer (THI element)
About the family: Vitamin B(1) in its active form thiamin pyrophosphate (TPP) is an essential coenzyme that is synthesised by coupling of pyrimidine and thiazole moieties in bacteria. The previously detected thiamin-regulatory element, thi box was extended, resulting in a new, highly conserved RNA secondary structure, the THI element, which is widely distributed in eubacteria and also occurs in some archaea.
Source: RNAcentral